RNAcentral lists this ribosomal RNA (301 nucleotides) under uncultured bacterium. RNAcentral's name for it is "partial 16S ribosomal RNA". It matches the Rfam family "Bacterial small subunit ribosomal RNA", at positions 509 to 809 of the family's 1533-position model. The record is from RNAcentral.
CAGCAGCCGCGGUAAAACGUAGGUGGCAAGCGUUGUCCGGAAUUAUUGGGCGUAAAGGGCUCGCAGGCGGUUUCUUAAGUCUGAUGUGAAAGCCCCCGGCUCAACCGGGGAGGGUCAUUGGAAACUGGGAAACUUGAGUGCAGAAGAGGAGAGUGGAAUUCCACGUGUAGCGGUGAAAUGCGUAGAGAUGUGGAGGAACACCAGUGGCGAAGGCGACUCUCCGGUCUGUAACUGACGCUGAGGAGCGAAAGCGUGGGGAGCGAACAGGAUUAGAGACCCGCGUAGUCCCUGUCUCUUAUAA